RNAcentral lists this ribosomal RNA (409 nucleotides) under uncultured bacterium. Its description in RNAcentral is "bacterial SSU rRNA". It matches the Rfam family "Bacterial small subunit ribosomal RNA", at positions 370 to 772 of the family's 1533-position model. The record is from RNAcentral.
AAUGGGCGAAAGCCUGAUGGAGCAACGCCGCGUGUGUGAUGAAGGUUUUCGGAUCGUAAAGCACUUUCGACCGGGACGAAUAACCUGGUGCUAACAUCGCCAGGCUUGACGGUACCGGGAGAAGAAGCACCGGCUAACUCUGUGCCAGCAGCCGCGGUAAUACAGAGGGUGCAAGCGUUGUUCGGAAUUAUUGGGCGUAAAGCGCGUGUAGGCGGUCUUGCAAGUCGGGUGUGAAAGCCCUCAGCUCAACUGAGGAAGUGCGCCCGAAACUGCUUGACUUGAGUGUCGGAGAGGGUGGCGGAAUUCCGCAAGUAGAGGUGAAAUUCGUAGAUAUGCGGAGGAACACCGGUGGCGAAGGCGGCCACCUGGACGACUACUGACGCUGAGACGCGAAAGCGUGGGGAGCAAA